AAGGAUUUAAGUUAUACUAAACUAGUGACCUUCAAAGUCAAAAACAGGAUUAUUCUAAUCCUUG
Molecule: transfer RNA, 64 nt
Filed under: Tenebrionoidea sp. 23 KM-2017
Lineage: Eukaryota; Metazoa; Arthropoda; Insecta; Coleoptera
Description: tRNA-Trp
Source: RNAcentral